GACGGAGGGUGCUAGCGUUGUUCGGAAUUACUGGGCGUAAAGGGCGCGUAGGCGGCUGCUCAAGUCGGGUGUGAAAGCCCGGGGCUCAACCCCGGAACGGCACCCGAGACUGGGCGGCUCGAGACCGGGAGAGGUGGGUGGAAUACCCAGUGUAGAGGUGAAAUUCGUAGAUAUUGGGUGGAACACCGGUGGCGAAAGCGGCUCACUGGCCCGGUUCUGACGCUGAGGCGCGAAAGCGUGGGGAGCAAACCGG
RNAcentral lists this ribosomal RNA (253 nucleotides) under uncultured bacterium. Its description in RNAcentral is "partial 16S ribosomal RNA". It matches the Rfam family "Bacterial small subunit ribosomal RNA", at positions 524 to 776 of the family's 1533-position model. The record is from RNAcentral.